RNAcentral lists this long non-coding RNA (1734 nucleotides) under Setaria italica (foxtail millet). RNAcentral's name for it is "long non-coding RNA (SITA_LNC003100)". The record is from RNAcentral. Lineage: Eukaryota; Viridiplantae; Streptophyta; Magnoliopsida; Poales; Poaceae.
GGCCCUGGCGACGGACGCCCCCGGCAGGUAGUUGUUGUUGCCGACAUCCAGUAUGGAGGACCCGAACACGUACAUCGCCGUCGCCGGCGACCGAGCUCCGGCGGCGACGGUGCGAUGAGCACCUGCACACAUAUCACAAGACGCAGCAGAAGACCUUCCAUAAUUUGCUUAGCUAACUGUGAGAGGAAAACAGUUUGAUGACUGAUAAGCCGACUGAAUAAGCUAAAGCGAACAGAUCCUGCUACUGCUUCCAUUGAUGCUACUGCCUGCCUACUUUUCUGUCUAGUGCCUCUCUUGCCUAUUGAUUGGCGUGACUUGCAGGUCGGACAAAAUAAAUGAUGGCGAAGGGACAGGCGCGACAAGCGCGCCCACACAGAUGCAGAUGCAGACGCAUGACACUGGCAAUUUUCGAUCCGUUCAUUCGAGAAAGCUAUCACUCACUCUCUCGAGUGAUUCGCAGCUCUCCCUCGCUCGAUUUUUCUUCCUUCCCAUCUGGGCAGGAUUUCCCAUUUCAUCUCUGUCGAACUCCGGUGAAAUUAGAAAUUCAUAGGCUAGAGGUUCGUUGAAACCGCCCAGGAUCGAUCAGGUCGAGCAGCAACUACUCUCACGAACUCUCCGGACAAGAGAAGUUUUUGCGGCAACCGAGGCCCUUUUUUCUAUGUAUUCAACUCAAUCAAAAAACAAACUAUUACACGAUGCUCAGUGCAUUGCUACACCUCAGUAGUUUUAUACAUCAUCUUAUACAGUACCACAUAAAAUUUUUGCUGAUGUGGAAGAGAGAGAAUGAUGAGAAAAGAAGGUUGUUGUUUCGCGAAACAACCACCUCAUAGGUUAGAUUUUAGAACUAUGAGACCACUACUCCACCGUUAUAUGAGUUAUGGUUGACAUGCAACUUAUAAUAUUUUUUUUUCUCUAUGCACAAUUAAGAAAAUAGAAUUACUAUAAGACAACAUCCUAUUGUACAGAUUGUUUGUUUAAUUAUUUUAAAAUUACAUGUCAAUGCAUGAGACCACCUAUUAGACAACAUCGUGCUGAGCCAUGUGACGACUUGACACAACGCCCGAGCAACUUCCUGUGGCCGGCUUCUCACGCACAGGCCCACACAAUAUCCACAUGCACAGCCACUAGCUCUUGCAUGCCACACCUGUGUGACGCCCCUCUAGCUAACAAAAAGUAGACUUACUCUGCUAACACAUGCAACACACGUACGCGUUUGCUAACUAACCAGCUAACUAAACGUGCAUAUGUGACUAACAAAAGACCAUGCACCGAUGAACAAACUAACUCUGGCCACAACGUGAACUCAACACGUUUCCGCCGGCCAUAUGCUAAUGCAGAACGUUUUAACGAAUUAAUGUGACAAACACAUCUAUCCUAUAUGCAAGAACUAAAUAUGCCCCUAGAUUAUUUCUAACAAGGUUCAGAUUAAUUUUUGGGAUUGAAAGCUCAUCUUAAAUAUGCCAUAUGCUAAUGCAUAACGUUUUAAUGAGUGUCGUUUUAACAAGUCAAUAUUAUUUCUAACAAGGUUCAGAUUUUCGGGAUUGAGAGCUCACCGACGCCCCUAGAGGGAAAGGUAACUGGUGGAGGGAACACGUACAUCGCCGUCGCCGGCGGCCGAGCUCCGACGGCGACGGUGCCGAUGAGCACCUGCACACAUAUCACAAGACGCAGCAGAAGACCUCCCAUAAUUUGCUUAGCCAACUGUGAGAGGAAAACAGUUUGAUGACUGAUAAG